This is an RNA transcript of Alnus glutinosa, 1625 nucleotides long. RefSeq lists it as uncharacterized. Lineage: Eukaryota; Viridiplantae; Streptophyta; Magnoliopsida; Fagales; Betulaceae. The record is from RefSeq and is a predicted model, not a curated record. The transcript has 4 exons.
AUAGAAACUGCGAGUCCAGCAAUCGUUUUCAGAAACUUCAGGAGUCAGGAAAACAAACAGUGUUCGUACAUCGCCCCCCGUAAAAGCAGAAUCUAAGUCAACCUGAUUGAAUGGCAUCAGCAAUCCCACAACCACCGAGGCCACUGUUUCGCCGGCACAGAACAACAAGAUUCCUCAUAUCUCGGAACCCUCCAGGUAAAUGGACCACGCAGAAGAACAACAAUGAUACUUCUAGUCCUGCUAGACUCGCCCAUCUCCAUCUUCCUCACCAUCAUCUUGUUCAUUCUCUUCUUUCGCUUUGCCCUCGUCUUCUUCUUCCUUGUCCUCCUCUUCAUUUUCUGCUCCAACCUCGUUCACCUAUUUUUCGACAUUCUCUGCCCGUCAUGACCACUCCUAAGGCCGCCGCUCAAGACUCCGGCCAGCCCUCAACCAAAACGGUGAGGGUUGUGAUAAAGGGGCAGGUGCAGGGGGUGUUCUACAGGAACUGGACGGUGGAUAAUGCCAACCAACUGGGGCUGAAAGGUUGGGUGCGGAACAAGAGGGAUGGCACUGUGGAAGCUCUGUUCUCUGGGAACCCUGAUGUGGUCCAGGAGAUGGAGCAAAGGUGUCGCCGAGGUCCACCAGCUGCGGUGGUUACCGGGCUCGGGGUUUUUCCUAGCAGCGAUGAUCCUGGAUCUAGAUUUGAGUGCAAACCAACAGUCUGAUCAAUCUAUGUAAAAACAUAGUAGCAAUAUGCUGUGCUAUGGAGAAUCUUAUACUUGGGUGAGUGUGGACAUGACUCGAAUUGCAGAAUCAACCUGUCACCAGUGUGUUCCAACAUGGAAAAGUUUAGAGGCCCAUUUUCAUCAGGCUGACGGGGUUGUGCUUUCCCUUAUGUUGCCCAAGUGUGGUUUGCUAGUCCUUUCUGGUUGCCUUUCCCGCAUAGUUUACAGACUGUUAAGUCCAGGAACGCGUAGCUGUCAUGGUAUGACGUGCUGGGAAUCUGAAACUGAUAUGUCGGAGCUUAUAAUGAAUUCAAGGUGUUGUAUAUGACAGGUGAAUUUGUCUAAUCUACUCCAUUCAGAAAUUGGUAACUGCUUUUUCCUCUCUGCCCCUAUGGUGAAUUAGAUUGAUUGAAAGAGUGCCUCUUUUUUGUGCGCCAAAUUUCAAUCUGCAUCGCAUGCUUGUAUAACUGAACUCUGAAGGCUUCGAUGAUAGGAAAUGCAUCCACAUGCAUGGGCCCAACCACUGUUGCCUUCCCCUUAAUGUGCUUGAGAUACUGGAUAGUGACUCAGCUUCGCUUGCAGAACAAAGACUAAUGUAAGCUUAUCUUUUAUGGGAUUUUUCUGGUGGAAGAUAGGCAAUUAAUGCCUGGAGAAAGAGCCAUUGCCUACGUACUUUUUGUCCUGUCUUCCGUAUACAGUGUUCCUCUCUAGGCCCCCAUUAUUGCAGGUAAGGAAAAAUAUCAUAUCAUAGUUCUGAAGAUACAGCUAAUUCCGUACCAAAAAGGUGUCCAAUGAAAAUGACCAUUGAUGAUGCAGCACAUGCGAUUGCUCCACAAUUAAGCUCCUUUUUCUAUCAUUCGCUUUGAAGACUGAAUACAUUAUAUAUAUACAACCUUUGCUUGUGGAAGAACUUGGAAAGCU